GCGGAUGUGGUUCAAUGGUAGAACAUCAGCUUCCCAAGCUGAAAACGAGGGUUCGAUUCCCUUCAUCCGCUUCA
RNAcentral lists this transfer RNA (74 nucleotides) under Peptococcus niger. RNAcentral describes it as "tRNA_Gly_CCC". It matches the Rfam family "tRNA". From Rfam's summary of the family: Transfer RNA (tRNA) molecules are approximately 80 nucleotides in length. Their secondary structure includes four short double-helical elements and three loops (D, anti-codon, and T loops). Lineage: Bacteria; Bacillati; Bacillota; Clostridia; Eubacteriales; Peptococcaceae. The record is from RNAcentral.